AAGUCCUCGUGCUGCAUCCCU
This 21-nucleotide microRNA is filed under the name Ananas comosus (pineapple). RNAcentral describes it as "microRNA s1468_c080b". The record is from RNAcentral. Lineage: Eukaryota; Viridiplantae; Streptophyta; Magnoliopsida; Poales; Bromeliaceae.